CGCGUCGUUGGCAGCCGGGGUGAGCCCCUUACGUAGAGGCUUGGGAAAGGGAAAGGCUUUUGUGGAGGAGCGCGGCGUAUGUCGGUUCUUUUCGAGGCUUUUAGCCUCACAGCACGGAGGGUGUCUGCAAACAGAAGUGAAUUGGUACCUCUGGUACUCUUAAUUCCAAACAAGAUGAAGAUCCCCUCUUUGCUGCUGAGAUUCCCUCAUUGUUAUUUCUCUAGAAGCAAUUACUUCACAAACUUUCGCUUCACUUCCAGAGCAGAUUUCCUGUGCAUGGAAUCUCUUACGCCAGUGCACCACUAUCGUACAAAAUGGAUGUGCUCAUCAAACGGUUUGAGGAGAGAGCUGUGUCAGCAAGUGGCCCCUGACCAGCAAAUAGAGGGACUUUCUGACAGAGAACAAAGACUCAUAGACAAACUUUACAAUGGACUAAUCCAGGGUCAUAGAGCCUGUUUAGCAGAAGCUAUUACACUUGUAGAAUCAACUCAGAGUAGGAAAAAGAAAAUAGCCCAGGUGCUCCUUCAGAAGGUAUUAUCCUACCACAGGGAACAAGAAAAGUUAAAUCAAGGAAAGCCACUUGCCUUUAGAGUGGGGUUGUCUGGUCCUCCUGGUGCUGGGAAAUCAACUUUCAUAGAAUGCUUUGGGAAAAUGCUUACAGAAAGAAAAUACAAAGUGUCUGUGUUGGCUGUAGACCCUUCCUCUAGUACAAGUGGUGGUUCUCUAUUGGGUGAUAAAACACGGAUGACUGAGUUGUCAAGAGACAUGAAUGCAUAUAUCAGACCGUCUCCAACCAGAGGGACGCUGGGAGGUGUAACAAGGACCACAAAUGAAGCCAUUCUGCUGUGUGAAGGAGGAGGCUACGACGUUGUACUUGUGGAAACAGUAGGUGUGGGACAGUCAGAAUUUGCUGUGGCUGACAUGGUUGAUAUGUUUAUAUUACUGCUACCACCUGCGGGUGGAGAUGAAUUACAGGGUAUCAAGCGGGGUAUAAUUGAGAUGGCAGAUCUAGUUGCUAUAAAUAAAGCUGAUGGUGAUUUAGUUGUACCUGCACGGAGAAUACAAGCUGAAUAUGUUAGUGCUAUGAAGCUGCUUCGCAAGCGUUCAAAGGUUUGGAGACCAAAGGUAAUGCGCAUCUCUGCCAAAACUGGAGAAGGUAUCUCAGAUAUGUGGGAUAAAAUGACAGAAUUUCGUGACCUCAUGCUCACAAGUGCUUUAAAAAUUAUCUGUGUUUUGGUGGAACUUAGUAGAAGAAAUGAGAGUCAGGUGGAAAAUGAAUUAAUGAGAGCAGCAGCAUUUUAAUCGGUCCCUGUGUAAUAGCUGUUGCUGGUGUUUCACAGCUGGAAAAACAAGCGUGGUGAGAUCAAGUGAUUUACCCAGGCCUCUGAAACAGGCUUGGACAGAGCUCACGAGCAGAAGACAAGGAUUUCUGAAGUCGUGCAAAACUGUUGUUCAGUGUCUGUUAGCAGCACCUGUGGCAAACCGUCUCUUCUUGACCCCUUCGUUACCUUUGGCCUUUGGUCUUCUUUCUCUCAUCAAGUCUUAGAAGAAAGCAGGCACCAUCGUAGCCAGGUGUGGAGGAUGGGAAGUUUAGAGACAAGCCAACGGUGCUAAGAUGUGUCCUGCUGUUUGUGCGGAAAAGGACCUGAGCUUGUUCCCAGGCUGUGAUGUCAGACUGUCCUCUCAUGACAGGAGAAACAGAAUUCAGCCAUCACAGUAAGGAUUAUUCUUAGAGAAGCUUUCCCAGUAUUUUGGAGUAGGCAAAAUAAUCCGUAGAGGAAAGGAAAAUUAGGAUGCUAAGAAUUUCCUGGUUAUCUAGGAGGGAUUUCACAAACUGAAUUAGAAGGAAUAUUAAAUGUGUUUGAAAAGAAAAUGUUUAGUAGGGGUCUGCACUGAAUGUAGAUAUAACGACAGUUCCCCCCCUCCCCCCCUUUUUUUUAAAUAUGAUCAAAUCUGGCAAAGCCUGUAAAAUAAGUGCAAAGAGUAAGUUACUUGUUUCACUUUACUUCUGAACUGUAAAUUGUUAGUCCAGACAAGGGAUCUUUAGUGACAUCAUAAACCGCAACAAGUAAUGUGCCUUAUGAUGUCAGAAGCUUAGACUAGGAGCUUUUACCGUUACUCAGAUGCUUGUCUUUUACUUCUAGGUCUAAGUAAGAAACAGCUAAGUAUUCGUAUACUUUUUCUGCCAAAAAUGUCAUGAUCCUGAGACAUCGGUAAGCUUGUGGACAUUGGGUAGAAAAUAAUGCCUUGUCAGUCUGCUGGUUUUCUCCUUUCCCUCCUUCUCACCUCCACUACUGCCUUCUCCCCUCUAUCAGCGCUUCAGGAUUUGUUGAUAGCUGUUAACAGCAGUACAGGUCAACAUACUAAAAGGUCAGCAUGUGUUUCACAAACCUGUUAUCCUCUGGUGUCCCUUCUCAUCUGAAGUUCAAGGAGAAACUCUGCAGUCUCAUAAAAUUCAUGGAGAGGACUAAUAUUGCUGUAAUCACACAAUUGAGAUUGGAUAAUCAUUCCAGAAAAGACAGCCACACGAGAAACUGGUUUCUGUCCUAUGUGUCACGUCAAAAGCAUGGUAAGCAUAUGGUAGCUGGCAGAGCUCAAUCAGGUAAAAUAAACAGCACGCUGGAACGUGAAUUACAUUGCAAAUAUUUUUUAUGCACAAAUCUUAACAAAGUGAUCUACCUGGAAAUCCUGACAGCUGUCUGAGACUAAGAGGAAUGACUUUCCAUGCCUUUGCUUGCUGAGCAAAUUUUGUUUACGGAAACAGGAUUCUUUUUUUUUUUUUUUUUGUGAGCUGUGAAUAUGAUUUGUCUGUCUGCAGUGAACAACAGCUGAUAAUAUUUGAUCCCUGCAGAAUUCAAAACAAGUAGCUGGAGUCACAUUCUUCACUUGAUUUACAAGAGAAGAAGGAACCUAAGUCAAAAUCAGUAAGCUUUUGAAAACAGUUUCAGUAAAAGCAAAAAACUUUUUUGUUGUUUGAGUGGUGUGAUGCAGAAUACCUGACUUGUUCUUUCUGUGUGCAGUGGCAAUAGAACCUGAGUAGAUUUGAACAUUAAUGUUUGAAACUUUAGGUAAUUAAAAUAUUGGCAUCCUUCACCUUUCCUUUUAGCUAUCCAUCGGAAUGUGGCAUUCCCUUAUAAAUGAAAGUGUCUUUACAGUGAGACUCUUUAGUGCUGUCAUUUCCACAUCUGCAGCAACUGGGCAGACCGUGCCCGCUGGAUAGCACUAGCACAACUAAAAGCCACCGAAUAUUUUAUUUCUGUACUAAGAUUAAUCACUUGUUCUGAAUCACGAUGUGUUAAAUAGGGAAGGCCCGGUUUCAUGUCUUGCAGGAUGCACGUGGCUUUCAGUGUAGCUGCAGAUUCUGCUCCACACACCCGUUGCCACCACACACAGUUCCUUGCUGUGCACUUGCUCAUACCAGAAAUGCUACUCUUUCUCCAUACCCUGACAUCAGGAAAGGGACGGCGUUUGAGCACGUGCCUGUGAUUGAAUAGGGGUCCUAGAAUACAGGUCACCUGAGUUUUGUCCCAUUAGGCGAGUCAGUUUUCCAUUUCUGGGCUAGUAAAUUUCAUAUGCAAUGAGACAGGAAAUUUCAGAGGGAAACUGGAAUAAUUAAAAUAAUCUUGUUUGGUCCACUGCCAGCUCUUUCAUCUUAGGAAAUGUUGCUCUGGAGACAUGCACAGAUCCUGUAAAUGAAUCUAGUCCAGAUAGCUCUCAUCUAGCAUUUUGAACAUGUAUCCCUUAGUGAGCAUGUGAAGUGCAAGGACAUUUCUGUGGGACAGUUUGAAUAGUUUUGGUUUCUUUUUAUUUUUUUUUUCUUUAUUGGCUGCUGCUUGAGAUUGAGGCUGGACUAAGUGGAUCCGCAGAGUUUUUGUAAUAAACCACCUUGUUUGCAUACCAAGAAAUUUCGACGGAGAGAAACAAAUUGCUACAAACCACAAAGGUUAAAUUUUCCACGCUGUGAAAGUCUCUUUAUUUCUGAAGAACUGAGGAUGCAGAUUUAGGAAUUUGAGUUGUGCUGUCAAUUACAAAGGAAUUGAAAUGGAAUUUCCUCCAGCGGGAUGGGAUUCAAGCGACAAAUGAGGCAGGAGAGAAGUGAGAUGUUGAAAAUCAAGUGAGAUGUUGACCUCUGCCCCUUGGAAAAGACUGAAUUUCUACCGUGUUAAAGUCCUUAAGCAGCCGCAGCAGUGCGUCGUGCUGACCUGGCAAUUUGCAUCCUCGAAGCUCUGCUCAAAGAUCUGAACUGAGCGAAGCACUCCGCCAAGCUGAGAGGGUAUCUUUGCAUCACUGUCUUCUGACUCAUUUGUCAAAGGCUGACAGACCUCUCUCUAGCCUGCGAGGGCAGGUUGGAAUCCUGGCACCUGACAGAUGCAGCCGUCUUCGCCAGUGUUAGAUGUGAUAAAGGAAAACGCAUUUUUCAGUUGGAGUUAGAAAAGGUUCCACACUAUAGUCCAUCAGCCCAAAUCCUGACCGUUUCUCUUCAAAAGAUACUGAACUUCUGUCAUGCAUCAGAGUGGCUGGUGUCAUGGAAGGAAGUCUUCAGAAAGUCCCCUUGCAUUACUGGGCCUGUGAUGAGGAGAUUUGAGGGGCUUGUCUGUCUUACUGUGGAAGCAAGAUGAUUGAUUUGAAUUUGUUAUGGCACUGCAACUUGUCACACCAAGUGGGACACCCUCUGCAAGAACAGAGCACGAGGAGGCAAGGUAUGUGCUCUGCUCUGAAUACUGUUGGGGUGGAAGUUCUCUGGCUUUCAGUGUUUGCACAGUAAAUUCAGUGUCAACAUACGUACAGACAGCAGAUCUCAGAGGAGUUAGAGGUAAAUAACCUUUCUUUUUGAGGUUUCUAGAAAGAGCUGCAGAGCUAAGGGAUUUCUCUGACUUUUUGGCCUGUCAUGAAUUGGCAGAUGACUUGGGAGAAGGCAGUCCCUGGUUGGUUGGCAGUGCCAAGAGCGAGCUUUGAACCAUGCAGGGUUUUGGCAGCUGGGGAACAUUCACAUUAGAGACUUCACAGUCCUGGCCUCUCUUUGGCUGCCAGUGACAGUUUUUGGUGAUCUAUUUUAUUUUUAUUUGGUCAUUAGAAGUAAAAGCUAGGUGUCUCAGUUCCUGUGUUAGUCUAGCCCAGGAAGCUAAAAGAGUCCCAUGGGAAACAAAUUUUCUGACCUAUACAAAAAAAAACCACCCCACCCAUUUUGUUUUGGCUCCCUAAAUGUGGAAGAUUCUUGAAGUCUCUACCACCAAACUAGGAGCCUGGAUCUUGACAACCUAUUGAUUAGGUGACAAAAAAACUAAUGACAGGACUCACGUGACUUGUGCUGCCAAAUACAGAAUUUGAGGAACUGGCUAUUACAGUGACAGAAUCAAAAAUCCUGAUGGAAACCAUCCAGUUUCUAAAGAGUGCUCAGGAAAACCUCUCUGUGUAAAGGAUUUUGGGAACCAGAUCCAAAGGCAGUCGGUCAGAACGUGUCCAGUAGCGCUCAUCGUCAGGAACCACAAAUUGUGCUCCACAGGAAAUUCCUGUGUCUCUUAAAACUUGUCUGACAGCAAAACAUUCCUCUGGAAGAAAACUCUGAGCAAUCCCAAUUUUUUUUUUUUUUUAAUUCUUCUUUCUUCUGAAGUGUUAGUCAGUAGCAUUUACCCUGAGAGCAGGAUACUGGCUGGAACUGAGGAAUUAAUAGGCCAAUCUAGCUGGGUCAACCCUUUUACCACAUAUGGAAGUGAACUGUGAGCAGAAUGAGCUUUUCAUGGAAGCGGAGAGGGCCAGAGCAGGGUAACAGCGAGGAUCACAAGUACCAAGUGGCCUCUGUUUGUGGCGAGAGCAGAGUGGGACUGUCCAGCUCAAGGGCCUGCAGCAGCAGCUAUAAAAUAGCUUGGGGAAGGCUAAUCAGGAGCUAUUUUUGCAGAGCAAACAGAGUACUUUUUUACGUAGUGACUUUACAUGUAGUUUGUGGAACAGCAUGGUGCUGGAGAUAGGAAUAGGUUUAAAGAAAAGCCCAGGUCCAGUGACAACAGGUCAGUCCUCCCUCUGUAUCAUAAGUACUUAUGCCUCAGGCAGUCACGUUAGGAGGAGGUCAGAUGUGAUUUAUUAUGGCAGCACCAAAGGGACCGUAGUAAAUUAAAUCGAGCUUAGAAGAAAACACGAGUGGAUUCUUUUUUUACUGUUAAAUUCUUUGUUACAUGAGUUGAGCAGGGUCAGGAUACUGGGAAUGCCAUGGCGGGGGUGGGGGGGGGUGUCGUCUUUCCAGGCACACACGCUUCCAUGACUGCAACGUGCCCAUGAAGCAGCUGGAGCUCAGCACCCAGAGAGCGUUGGGCCAGUAGGUGAUGUGUGGGGCCACCGAGUGUGCUGAGACCAUCCACCCGCAGCUGAGGACUGCCAGACCUGUGCGGCUACUGACAGGCUCCCUGCCGUACAGCAGAGCUGCUGCAACCGAGGCACCUUCCCAGAAGAGUAACAAUCCAAAGCUUGCAGUUCCAGUGAAACGCUCUCUGAGAAGUGCUGGAAAAAAACAAAGAUACAGUGGACGGGGAGAGAAAGACCAGCUCUUCUUGAACGUCUUACCAUCCUAAUGUCAAAGAUGCCUUCCCUUCACCUGACUAACUGGCCACCAGCAAAGGGAGCGGUGGAUCCCACACACGAGCUGUUACAGCACCACCCACUCCAGCAAGGUACCGAUGGAGGCCCUGACGAUUCGUAUCCACACCCCAGCAGAAAUUACAGAGAAUCCUCUCCUCCUCCCUCCUACUCAAGCCUCAAUCUAUUGAAGGUGAAAAAAAGAGAGGAAGGAAACCCAAAAAGAAACAAGGAUAUAGCCAACCUUUUUAAUUAGAGUAUAUUGUACUUCCAAACUGGAUACA
Molecule: RNA transcript, 6851 nt
Organism: Chroicocephalus ridibundus (black-headed gull)
Lineage: Eukaryota; Metazoa; Chordata; Aves; Charadriiformes; Laridae
Source: RefSeq, a predicted model, not a curated record